CAACCCUCAAGCCCCCGCGGUUUGGUGUUGGGGGCCGGCGAUUGUCAGCUGGGCCGCUCAGGCGGUUCCCUGCGGCGCCGCCCCCGAAAUGAAUUGGCGGCCCCGUCGCGGCCUCCUCUGCGUAGUAGCACAACCUCGCAACAGGAGCGCGGCGCGGCCACUGCCGUAAAACGCACAAACUUCUCCAAG
RNAcentral lists this unclassified non-coding RNA (189 nucleotides) under Metarhizium rileyi. RNAcentral's name for it is "partial internal transcribed spacer 2". Lineage: Eukaryota; Fungi; Ascomycota; Sordariomycetes; Hypocreales; Clavicipitaceae. The record is from RNAcentral.